This 478-nucleotide ribosomal RNA is filed under the name uncultured organism. RNAcentral describes it as "partial 16S ribosomal RNA". It matches the Rfam family "Bacterial small subunit ribosomal RNA", at positions 330 to 799 of the family's 1533-position model. The record is from RNAcentral.
CGUACACUCCUGCGGGAGGCAGCAGUGGGGAAUUUUGGACAAUGGGCGAAAGCCUGAUCCAGCCAUGCCGCGUGCAGGAUGAAGGCCUUCGGGUUGUAAACUGCUUUUGUACGGAACGAAACGGCCUUUUCUAAUAAAGAGGGCUAAUGACGGUACCGUAAGAAUAAGCACCGGCUAACUACGUGCCAGCAGCCGCGGUAAUACGUAGGGUGCAAGCGUUAAUCGGAAUUACUGGGCGUAAAGCGUGCGCAGGCGGUUAUGUAAGACAGUUGUGAAAUCCCCGGGCUCAACCUGGGAACUGCAUCUGUGACUGCAUAGCUAGAGUACGGUAGAGGGGGAUGGAAUUCCGCGUGUAGCAGUGAAAUGCGUAGAUAUGCAGAGGAACACCGAUGGCGAAGGCAAUCCCCUGGACCUGUACUGACGCUCAUGCACGAAAGCGUGGGGAGCAAACAGGAUUAGAUACCCUGGUAGUCCCAUG